CCAAUAGCGUAUAUUAAAGUUGUUGCAGUUAAAAAGCUCGUAGUUGAAUUUCGGGGUUCUUCCGUUGGUCAGGCUAACAAGUCUGAACUAACGUGUAGAAUCUCUACCUUCUGGGGAACCAUCAUGUUAUUAAUUUAGCGUGGUGGGAAACCAGGACCUUUACCUUGAAAAAAUUAGAGUGUUCAAAGCAGGCUUACGUCUGAAUACAUUAGCAUGGAAUAAUAAAAUAGGACGGUGGUCCUUUUUUGUUGGUUUCUGAAUCACCGUAAUGAUUAAUAGGGAUAGUUGGGGGCAUUAGUAUUCAAUUGUCAGAGGUGAAAUUCUUGGAUUUAUUGAAGACUAACUUCUGCGAAAGCAUUUGCCAAGGAUGUUUUCAUUAAUCAAGAACGAAAGUUAGGGGAUCGAAGACGAUCAGAUACCGUCGUAGUCUUAACCAUAAACUAUGCUGACUAGGGAUCAGAUGAUGUUAUUUUUUAAUAACUCAUUCGGCGCCUUACG
RNAcentral lists this unclassified non-coding RNA (498 nucleotides) under uncultured Scutellospora. Its description in RNAcentral is "SSU rRNA". It matches the Rfam family "Eukaryotic small subunit ribosomal RNA", at positions 591 to 1092 of the family's 1831-position model. Lineage: Eukaryota; Fungi; Glomeromycota; Glomeromycetes; Diversisporales; Gigasporaceae. The record is from RNAcentral.